RNAcentral lists this long non-coding RNA (1364 nucleotides) under Homo sapiens (human). RNAcentral describes it as "HSALNT0045413". The record is from RNAcentral. Lineage: Eukaryota; Metazoa; Chordata; Mammalia; Primates; Hominidae.
GAACUAAAUUAAUCUAGAAAGUAGAUUUUUAUAUCAUUCAAGAUAAGGAGAAGCCCAGAUUAAAUAUAUAAAAUUGUUGUUAUUUACACAGCUAACUUCCCGCUUUGAAAACAAUCCCAUACGUAAAUUUCUUUUUUGGAGCAAGGUAACUUGGUGAUUGUUCUAUCUCUACCCAAAAUUCACCCCUAUUUGGAAAACUGGGGGCUAAAAGCAAUCAGAAUUCACCAGUUCAAAAACACUUACGUCCAUCUUAUUAGCAACACUAACUACCCAGAGGAAACUAAAAUAGACCAGAUUUACAGCAGUAAGUAAAUCUAAUUGUAAUUUAAACAUUACCUUAUUUUAGCAAAAGGUGAAGGGAAUCAAACGCUAGGGGGCAGCAUCAAACUGUUGUGGGUUAGGCUGGGCAGCCUUGCAAACUUUAAGCUUUAGGGUAUUUUUAAUGAGAAUUACACUUACAUAAAAGAUGAAUUAUAAAACUUCCGUUAUAAAGGAAAAAACUAGUUGUUUUGAUUCCCUACAUUUCUCUUCCAUUUCCCAUUGUGUACUUUCUUUUGCAACUAUGACUGGUAUCACUUUAAAAUGCACUAGUAAUAAUGUCCUUCUGAUACUAAACUCAUGGCAUUUCCAAUACUGAGGUAAGCACUAUAUAAACACAAGCUGACAUUUUUAGCCUAACCAUAAUGGUUAAGUUUUGAUUCACUCAAUUAGCAUUUUAAACUUAAUUAAAGAGCUUGACAAGCUCUGCAUAUUCAUGUGUCAUAAGCAGUAUGUGACAAAAAAAACUGUGCAGUAUGUACCCCCUCACGAAAUUUAGUUUGGCAGGGAAAACAAGAUGCACAUGUUAUUAUAAAUUAGAAAAUGGAAGAGAAGUAGAAAUAAAUCCAUGAGUAUUAUAUAUAAGUAACAGAACAAAAACAACAGGAUAAUGUAUCCCCCCCAAAGGCCCAGUAGAGACCAUCAAAGCUCAUUCUGGGGGUAGUCAAGGAGGGAGUGGAGGGAGAAAAAGAACGCAGACCUUCAACCACUAAUGAAAGAACUGAAACAUCUGUAUGUAGAAAAAAGGUAAAAUCAACUCACUAUCAUCUUCAGCCUUUUGGUUAUCUCAUUUAAUGGUCACAGUUAAGUCCGUGAGUAGGGUUUUUGUACUUGAAGUUCAAAUAGAAGAUUAAGAUAAGCAACUUCCUCAAGGUAAGCAAACUAAUUAAUAGAGGAGUCUUGACUUGAGGCUUUCAAUUGCAUACUAAGUUAGAAGGAACUAAGUUCUACAUCUCCAGCUUUUCCAUUACUUGCUUUUUCUUAAUUAUGUACAAUUUAGAUACACAUCCAAAAAGAAAACAAAUACAAACCUAUUCUAGUUUUGC